This 195-nucleotide ribosomal RNA is filed under the name Streptomyces sp. M7. RNAcentral describes it as "partial 23S ribosomal RNA". The stretch from base 22 to 195 matches the Rfam family "Bacterial large subunit ribosomal RNA", at positions 1 to 173 of the family's 2925-position model. The record is from RNAcentral. Lineage: Bacteria; Bacillati; Actinomycetota; Actinomycetes; Kitasatosporales; Streptomycetaceae.
ACAGUGGACGCGAGCAUCUGUGGCCAAGUUUUUAAGGGCGCACGGUGGAUGCCUUGGCACCAGGAACCGAUGAAGGACGUGGGAGGCCACGAUAGUCCCCGGGGAGUCGUCAACCAGGCUUUGAUCCGGGGGUUUCCGAAUGGGGAAACCCGGCAGUCGUCAUGGGCUGUCACCCUUGCCUGAACACAUAGGGCA